AAAAAAAAAAAAGAAAGCCUGAAAGUGGAAUGAGCUUCCCCGGCCGACCGGCUCCCUUCCCCGCCGGCUCCCAGAGCUGUGUAUGUCCCUUCCAUGGCACUGGUAUGAUAUUCCUGAAUGAGCAGAGAAGUCAGCUGAGGGCCACACACCGUCAUCUGCAUUUCACAGAAGUCAUAAAGAUGCUGAUUGCUCAGGGGGCUCAGCUGUCUCAGCACAAAAAGGGGUAAGUCAUGUUCUAUGCAGAGAACACAAAGUAAGUGGCUCCCUGAGAUGGGGCUGGGCAGGCCACAGACACCACCAGGCAUCAUUUCCUCCUAGUCCACUCUCACACCGGAGCCAGAGGGAACCCUCUAGAGUGCAGACACGAGUUACCUGUCCCCCACCACUUUAGAGCCAUCAAUGGGUCCCCUUGCUUUUGGGAGCAUCUUCUAACCUGGAUCAGGCAGAGUGGCCCAUCCAGAAAACAUGGGCUAGCUGUCAAAUAAGUCUAGGAAAUUCUGGAGGAAAUCAAGACUAUAGAUUUCUCCCUCAGCGGGACAUUUUUGAUGCAUCUAACAAAUAUUUGUGGGAGUGGGGUGGGGAGAAAAAACAAUUUGUUUAGCACUUUCUAUGCCUGGUACCGUGCUAAAUGCUGGGAAUGCAGCCACGAGCAUGGCUGAUAGGGUCCCCCGCUGUCCUGGAGUGAGGCUGUGGAGGAAGAGGCAGAGCCAAGCAUGGUCAGGGCCGUGAGAGUCUCUUCGUGUGCAGUGUUUCUCAGACUAAUUUACCAAGGAGCCUCUUUUUCACAGAACACCUGUUAACUUCCUACAGAAGCAUGUUCUGGGAGCCAGGGAGGAACACCAAAUUAUGGCAUAAGGUCAAAGCCCGUUUCACAUGAAAUACUGUUAUCAUCCAAUAUCACUUCUUGCCACCCCCAGCUGUACCUUCCAGCCACACUGAACAAAUGUGUCAUUUUCUGUUCAAGCCAUGCCUGCCUCACUGCCACCUCCUACAAGAAGCCGUCCCACACCCCUAAGCAUAUCAGACCUCAAAGCCCAUACUUUCUCCAGAACAGCACCCCUGCCCCCAGAGUGUCAUUUCCUUGAGUCAAAUACAGCAACCCUGACGUGAACUCCUUUAAACCUCUGCAAUUUCAUCUUAUUUUAGUCAUAGAAAACUCUUGGUUCCAGUUGACUAAAUCCUGCUAAAGGGUUCAAUUAGUAACAUCCCUCUCCUUCCUACCCACAUUUCCAACCAACUGGGAACUAUCCAGUAGCCAGUCAGAUGGAAAUUAAAUGUCAGCUGUGUUCAUGCAAAGCGCGGUGGAAGGUGUCUCUGCGUCAGCGGCUCCAGCUACUGGCAGUGCCAGACAAUUCCUGGCACUAAGUCAGAGCAGGCCCUGAGCAUGUGGCCAAGAACAGUGCAGAGCCCUGGCUGCCCGCCAGCAGAUGACAGGAGCAAAGAGAGAGGGAGGGGCUCGACUCCGCAUCCCAAGGCCUGGGCCUGGGUCUAAUCUGUCUGUCUCUAGUGCCCAGCCCAGGACCCUAGGCACAGCAAAGUACUGAUGUUUGCACGAGGGAUCAUUGAAGAGAAGUCUAAUGUGCCUCAGGAGGGAGCGGAUAAUGCAGCCCUUCUCUGCAGUCAACAGACCACACUUGGAGAAUGGUAGUGGCCACAGCAAGGCAGACGCCAGUUGAUGGGAAGGAAAACAGUGCCAUUCAAACAAGGAAUGAACUUUCUUGGAGUCAGUGAGGUCCCUGUUCCUAGAGGUGUGCAAACAGAGGCUGGGCAGUAGCUGCUUGGACUCCUCCUAAAGAGCCCCAGGGAGGUUGGACAAGAGGAUGCCCAGCCCCUACCCCCAUCCCAACCCCAGAUCCGGAGUGCCUCAGGAUCUCUGUGCUCCUGCCUCCAGAGGUAUGUGUCCCAGGCAGAAGAGGACAAGCAGUGCUACAUCCACGAGCUGCAGCCUUUCAGAGCUCUGAGACCUCCGAGCCUUCCUGCAGAGCUGUGCAGCCCACAGAGCUGUGUGCCAGGUGCUGAAGCAUUGACCUCAGGGGUGCCUGCUGCUUCCUCUUGGCUCAUUGUGGUUUUCAGGCCUCAGAUGAAAUGGAACAGCACUGAUCCUCCUGCAGCAGGUGACAUGAAGACCCCCUCGAGAUAACGUAUACAAUCAAAGAAGGCACCUCAGAGCCUCUGAUUGAUGGUUCCCAAGCAGGACUGAGCCCUUUUCUGAGACAAAUUCUUUUUUAAAUGAUGUCUUUUGUUUCUCCUUCAGAAGCAGGGACCCCAGGAAGUGAAUUUGAGAAUAAGGGCCUUGACUUCUCAGAAAUUAAUGUCAGUGUUUUGGGAGGGAAGAUGCAUCACCCUCAUUUGGUGUGGGAGGCUGAAAACCGGUCUCUCCAAAAGACAUUCAUGUCCUGAUGCCUGGAACUUGUGAAUGUGACCUUAUAUGAUGGAAAAAAAUGGGAGGGUUGGGGGAUGUGAUGAAGGAUCUUGGUGGUGGCAGGGCCGGUGGGGGUGGGGAGAUGAUGCAGCCACCAGUGUCCUGACAAGAGGGACACAAAUGGAGAUGGGACCCAGGAGAGCAGAAGCCCUUGUGAUCACAGAGGCAGCCUGGACUGAGGCAGUCACCAGAGUGGCUGGAAGAGGCAAGGAACUGAGUCUCUCCUGCAGCCUCCAGUGGGACUGUGCCCUGCCCACCUUCAUUCUGGCCCAGUCAGACUGACUGUAGACUUCUGGCCUCCAGAACUUGGAGUGAGUAAAUGUCUGUUGUUUUAAGCCACCCAGUUGAUGGCAGUUGGUUAGAGCAGCCAUAGGAGACAUACAUUUAAACAGGAGACUGUGGAUCAAUGCAGUGAAGGCUGCACAUCCAUCUCUUACUCCAUGGUGGCGUGUCCACGUGGGAAGGAGCCUGAGGCUGGCUGGGGGAGGCCGGGAAGACCCACAGGGAAGCAAUUCUGAGAUGACACCUUCUGAGUCAUUCUGAUUCUGAGAUGGAGAAUAAAUUAGAAAUUCCCGGAGGAAGCUCUGGACAGGGUGGAUGCAGAGGGAUGUGACGCAGGCAGGGUGUUCCAGGCGGAGGAAACAGGAUGUGCAGAGGCCCAGUGAUGGGCAGCAGCAUCACGUGUUUGGGGAACCAUGAGCAGCUCAGGACGCCUGGACCAGGCCCUGUGCCUGACGUAUGGGCACAUAUGGGGCUGGGUGGGGAAAGGAUUCAUCAGAUGUUGGAACAAGCUGGGAUGGAAGGUGUAGAUGUUUCCUCUUUGAGUUUUCAUUGACAAUGAAAUAUAUGUUUAAUUAACAAAUGAAGAAUAACGGAAAAUGAAUUUUAAGGGGCAGAUAGAUGUGUUUACAAUGACAUUUUCUGGAAGGCUACACUAGAAACUAUAAUCUAUAGUGAGUAGAAAUAGGAUGUUGGGUCCCUUUUCUUUUGACUUUAAACCCCCUCCUUUUUUAGAAAUUUCAGCAUUCACUUAUAAUCACUCGAAAAGUUGCUUUGCAUACAACACCUUGUAUCGUUAGGAAAUGACUUGAGGACUUAAAGGGCAAAGGACUUUCUGAGUGCACCGUCUGCCUGAAAGGUCAGUCCUCGGUGCCCCAGGCUGGGCUGCCGUGGCAGGAGCCACUUCAGUGGGGUUCCAGCCUGCAGCUACUCCCGAUGUAAGGGGCCUGCUCUGGACUGCAGGCUACUCUCCCAGCAACCCAGCCACCCUCUCCUGGAGCCUGCCUUGGCUCCCCAUGGCCUUUAUGGUAAGGCCUUCCACAACCUGGCUCCCAUCUCCCUGUCCAACGUCAUCCACCCACCAUAUCUCCCAGCCCCCAUGGAGCACUGCCAGCAGUGAGCAUGCAGUGAGCUCUGGAACCCACAACCCCCUCCACAUCCUCAGGCAUCCACUAUGACCUGUUUCCAGCACAUCUUCCAGAAAUAUCCUACUGACAUGGAAGCACCUGCAGGUGAGUGCAUAUGUAUUCUGAUAAAAGGAUGCAUUCUUGUUUCAUUUUAGAGCUCAUUUUGGUUUAGGAUUUUGAAGAAAACUCUGUAAACAAACAAGACCUGGAAUUGGUUACGUGCUCUCUCAAACAACACCGCUAAUCUUCAAAACACUCUUCUGUCUACUCAGGACCGAGCACUUUCUCUCCCACCUGAAGGCAGAGGUCUUGAGAUGAGUUGAGAUGCUCAUCUGUGCUAGAAAGGCAUCACACCUGGCAAGGGAAUUUACAGGGGGAUGAACACAAUGACCUGUACUCUGGGACAUACAGGCAGUUCUUCAGCCCCCUGCGCAAGAAGAAGGAGCAGCUCAGUACCUCAGCACCUCACAGGUAAACAGCCUGGGCGAGGCUGCUCGGCGGCUAACACUAGCCUUGACUCCACCUGCACCAGGGGUCACCAACGGGCAGCCCACAUGAUGCCUCUUGUUAUUAAGAUGCAAUUUUAAAACAGGCUCUAGUCAAGCCCACUCACUACCAGGUGAGUGUUCGGGACAGGGUAGGUCUUCCACUAUAUUUUUUUUCCUCUUAGGUCACCAGGCCUGCCUGCUCUGUGCCACCUGGGACCUCAGAUCCUCCUGGAGCCCUCACUCAGUUUAUUCCGUCUCUACCGGCUCCUUAACUAUCCCAGAGCACCCCAGGCCCAUGCCCACCUCAGGCCCAGAUGCCGCACUCUCUGCCUGCAGCGCUCUGUGCCCAUGUGGCCACAGGGCUCUUGCAACCUCCCUUCAUCCAGCUCUUUGCUUACCUGUCUCCUGCCCAGGGACGCCCCCCGGUCACCAGUGCCAAUGUCCAGCCCUGCCCAUUUCUCUUCACCAUCACUGUAUCGCCACCUCGCAGCCCAUUCCGCUUGCUCAGUCCUGGUGUUAUUGCCUGUCCCCCACUGGAAGCGAUGGCCCUCUAGUUCAGCAAUUGUUUUGCCUGUUUUGUCCACUGUGGUCACCUGGGCCUAGAACCACACCUGGCACUCCCGGGAGCUGCUCAAUACAUAUUCAGUGAAUGGACGAAUGAAUGAAUGUGUUCAUCAAAGACCCAGCAAAUUCCUUCCAGGGACAGAGCCAGGUGCUAGGGACACAGGAAGAAGAAGGUAGAGUUCCAUGCUGACAAAACUAAGGGCCAAACAUGUGGAUGAAUAUGAACAUCCUGGCAUUAAAACGUCUUGAAUUCAAGUGAAAUGAAACCCACUGGACACAGAGAGGCCCCACCACAAUGGCAUCGGUGUAAAAUCCAGAGAAAGAUCCUCUAAGGGUGAAAACAGCCUUGGUAGGUGCUGGACUAAGGGGCGACAUUGAGUUUCUUCUUCCCACCUAUCCUUUAGGGAUGUGAAAACAGAACUAGGUCUCACGUAGGCCCCUGUCAGCACCCUGACUGCUGAGUCACGCGGGUCAGUUACGCAGCCACUCUGUGCUUCCCCGGCCUCCUCUGUAAAAUAAGGAUGGCAUUGCCUGGCUGGCAGGGCUCUCCUGAGAAUACACAAUGCCUCACACAGGGCCCAGAGCAGCUGAGAGGUCACCGCCUCCAGGAAGACUUCCCUGAUCUACACGUGGGGUUGGGCCUUCCCAGGGCUCCUAAGGCUUGCACGCAUACGCGUCACUUUGUAAUGAUCAUCCCCGUCACUGUCCCACAACACACAUUACACACAACACAACACAACACAAACACAUGCACUCUACAAACACACACACACUGCAUAUAACACACACUAUACACAUUACAGACACAACACAUAACCCUUGGCCAGGUACAGUGGCUCACGCCUGUAA
Non-coding RNA from Callithrix jacchus (white-tufted-ear marmoset), 5729 nucleotides. NCBI's taxonomy places the organism in Eukaryota, Metazoa, Chordata, Mammalia, Primates, Cebidae. The record is from RefSeq and is a predicted model, not a curated record.